Molecule: ribosomal RNA, 232 nt
Filed under: uncultured prokaryote
Description: partial 16S ribosomal RNA
Rfam family: Bacterial small subunit ribosomal RNA
Source: RNAcentral
CACGUAGGAGGCGAACGUUAUCCGGAUUUACUGGGCGUAAAGCGCGUGUAGGUGGUUUGGUAAGUAGGGCGUGAAAGCUCCUGGCUCAACUGGGAGAGGCCGUUCUAAACUGCCGAACUAGAGGAUGGUAGAGGGAGGUGGAAUUCCGGGUGUAGCGGUGGAAUGCGCAGAUAUCCGGAGGAACAUCAGUGGCUAAAGCGGCCUCCUGGACCAUUCCUGACACUCAGACGCG